CUACGGGUGGCACCAGUGGGGAAUAUUGCACAAUGGGCGCAAGCCUGAUGCAGCCAUGCCGCGUGUAUGAAGAAGGCCUUCGGGUUGUAAAGUACUUUCAGCGGGGAGGAAGGGGGUAAAGUUAAUACCUUUGCUCAUUGACGUUACCCGCAGGAGAAGCACCGGCUAACUCCGUGCCAGCAGCCGCGGUAAUACGGAGGGUGCAAGCGUUAAUCGGAAUUACUGGGCGUAAAGCGCACGCAGGCGGUUUGUUAAGUCAGAUGUGAAAUCCCCGGGCUCAACCUGGGAACUGCAUCUGAUACUGGCAAGCUUGAGUCUCGUAGAGGGGGGUAGAAUUCCAGGUGCAGCGGUGAAAUGCGUAGAGAUCUGGAGGAAUACUGGUGGCGAAGGCGGCCCCCUGGACGAAGACUGACGCUCAGGUGCGAAAGCGUGGGGAGCAAACAGGAUUAGAUACCCUAGUAGUC
Molecule: ribosomal RNA, 464 nt
Filed under: uncultured bacterium
Lineage: Bacteria
Description: partial 16S ribosomal RNA
Rfam family: Bacterial small subunit ribosomal RNA
Source: RNAcentral